UGGGGAAUAUUGCGCAAUGGGGGGAACCCUGACGCAGCCAUGCCGCGUGAAUGAAGAAGGCCUUCGGGUUGUAAAGUUCUUUCGGUAUUGAGGAAGGUUGAUGUGUUAAUAGCACAUCAAAUUGACGUUAAAUACAGAAGAAGCACCGGCUAACUCCGUGCCAGCAGCCGCGGUAAUACGGAGGGUGCGAGCGUUAAUCGGAAUAACUGGGCGUAAAGGGCACGCAGGCGGUUAUUUAAGUGAGGUGUGAAAGCCCCGGGCUUAACCUGGGAAUUGCAUUUCAGACUGGGCAACUAGAGUACUUUAGGGAGGGGUAGAAUUCCACGUGUAGCGGUGAAAUGCGUAGAGAUGUGGAGGAAUACCGAAGGCGAAGGCAGCCCCUUGGGAAUGUACUGACGCUCAUGUGCGAAAGCGUGGGGAGCAAACAGGAUUAGAUACCCUGGUAGUCCACGCUGUAAACGCUGUCGAUUUGGGGGUUGGGGUUUAACUCUGGCGCCCGUAGCUAACGUGAUAAAUCGACCGCCUGGGAGUACGGCCGCAAGGUUA
This 546-nucleotide ribosomal RNA is filed under the name uncultured bacterium. RNAcentral's name for it is "bacterial SSU rRNA". It matches the Rfam family "Bacterial small subunit ribosomal RNA", at positions 355 to 896 of the family's 1533-position model. The record is from RNAcentral.